AGUGAACGCUGGCGGUAGGCCUAACACAUGCAAGUCGAACGGCAGCACAGUAAGAGCUUGCUCUUACGGGUGGCGAGUGGCGGACGGGUGAGGAAUACAUCGGAAUCUACUUUUUCGUGGGGGAUAACGUAGGGAAACUUACGCUAAUACCGCAUACGACCUACGGGUGAAAGCAGGGGAUCUUCGGACCUUUCGCGAUUGAAUGAGCCGAUGUCGGAUUAGCUAGUUGGCGGGGUAAAGGCCCACCAAGGCGACGAUCCGUAGCUGGUCUGAGAGGAUGAUCAGCCACACUGGAACUGAGACACGGUCCAGACUCCUACGGGAGGCAGCAGUGGGGAAUAUUGGACAAUGGGCGCAAGCCUGAUCCAGCAAUACCGCGUGAGUGAAGAAGGCCUUCGGGUUGUAAAGCCCUUUUGUUGGGGAAGAAAAGCAGCAGAUUAAUACCCCGCUGUUCUGACGGUACCCAAAGAAUAAGCACCGGCUAACUUCGUG
RNAcentral lists this ribosomal RNA (492 nucleotides) under uncultured bacterium. RNAcentral describes it as "partial 16S ribosomal RNA". It matches the Rfam family "Bacterial small subunit ribosomal RNA", at positions 29 to 507 of the family's 1533-position model. The record is from RNAcentral.